RNAcentral lists this ribosomal RNA (344 nucleotides) under uncultured Eubacteriales bacterium. RNAcentral's name for it is "bacterial SSU rRNA". It matches the Rfam family "Bacterial small subunit ribosomal RNA", at positions 1067 to 1410 of the family's 1533-position model. The record is from RNAcentral. Lineage: Bacteria; Bacillati; Bacillota; Clostridia; Eubacteriales.
GUGAGAUGUUGGGUUAAAGUCCCGCAACCGAGCGCAACCCUUGUCGUCAGUAGCCAGCAGUAAGAUGGGCACUCUGACGAGACAGCCGGAGAUAAUCCGGAGGAAGGUGGGGAUGACGUCAAAUCAUCAUGCCCCUUAUGAUUUGGGCUACACACGUGCUACAAUGGCGUAAACAAAGUGAAGACAAAACCGCGAGGUCAAGACAAAUCAACAAAAUAACGUCUCAGUUCGGAUUGUAGUCUGCAACUCGACUAUAUGAAGCUGGAAUCGCUAGUAAUCGCAGAUCAGAAUGCUGCGGUGAAUACGUUCCCGGUCUUGUACACACCGCCCGGUCGACGCGGCCG